UGGGGGAUAUUGCACAAUGGGCGAAAGCCUGAUGCAGCGACGCCGCGUGGGGGAUGAAGGCCUUCGGGUUGUAAACUUCUUUUGCUCUGAACAAGGCAUGCUAAUGGGUGUGUUGAGUGUAGGGGUUGAUUAGCGCCGGCUAACUACGUGCCAGCAGCCGCGGUAAUACGUAGGGCGCGAGCGUUGUCCGGAAUUAUUGGGCGUAAAGGGCUUGUAGGUGGCUGGUUGCGUCUGUCGUGAAAGCUCAUGGCUUAACUGUGGGUUUGCGGUGGGGACGGGCUGGCUUGAGUGCAGUAGGGGAGGCUGGAAUUCCUGGUGUAGCGGUGGAAUGCGCAGAUAUCAGGAGGAAUACCGGUGGCGAAGGCGGGUCUCUGGGCUGUUACUGACACUGAGGAGCGAAAGCAUGGGGAGCGAACAGG
This 419-nucleotide ribosomal RNA is filed under the name bacterium. Its description in RNAcentral is "partial 16S ribosomal RNA". It matches the Rfam family "Bacterial small subunit ribosomal RNA", at positions 355 to 776 of the family's 1533-position model. The record is from RNAcentral.